UGAGGAUUCUAUCAAUUAACUACAACAAGAACGUAGUUGAACAAAUAGAGAUUAAACCGGACAAACUAUAUUAACCCUAAAUAUUUAGCUACUCAUAAUUGUAUUCAUACUAACAACAACAAAAGUCAUCAUAAAUUGUAAAAUACAAAAGGAAGGAAAGAAGAACUCAAUGUUGAAUUAUCCUCCUUGCCUCUUGCCUCUCCUUGCCUUCAACUAAGCUGUAAAGACCUUGAUAAUGUCCCUUUGGGCGAGCUGGACCUCUUAUAGGUUAAGUGGAAUUACUCCCGAACUUCCAAGUUUACCCCUGAAAUUAUAAUCUCCGAACUGGACUAGCGCGGCAGCGCUAAUGGCCGCGCAUAUAGCAUAGUAUUCUGUCUCGAGGUUCUGGACUAUCGCGGUCGCGCUAGUGGGCGCGUUAAUGGCCGCGCUAAGCUGGUCAUCAUUUUAGCUCAUCUUUUCUCUCUUCUUUAACACACACUCAGCUCCGAGGGGCUUCCCUUGCUUUAAUUUAGCUCCAAACACUGUCCCAAGUCCUCAUAAACGCAACUUGCUCCUGCAAAACAUGAAAAUCACAAUUAGAGUCAAUUUAUCGUCAUUUAACUAUCCUCGAACAGUGAAACAUAGUCAAAUUAGGGCAUAAACAUUUGCCAAAUUACAUGAACCUAGCCUACUAUCAAUGGUUCUUGAAAUACCAGGUGAACGUUGCAGAUGUUGUUGCUACAUUAUGACGCCAUUAUCUUCAGCCAACAGAUUGGCAUUAUUUUGCCAUGGCUGUAAACUGUAAUGCAUUGCUACUUAUAGCGAUACGAAUGCAUAAUGAGAGUAGGUGAGUAUGUCAUCUACUAACAAUUAAUAUUAUUGACAAAAGAUAUACCUUAUUUAUCAUCAACAAGAGUUAUCACAUAUCAGUAUUAAUCAUUUAUAAGAGUUAAGAGUUAUCACAUAUGAGAUCAGUCAGAUAAGUAGCGCUUAUUCUUACCUCGGCUGGAUGUCAUAUGGCCCAGGUUUUAGGAAUAGAAUUUAGAGCAUAUUCAUAUUGUGGUUUGGGCAUCAACUGUUGUUUUCUGGUGAUUAUAAAUACACUAAUAGUCCUUUUGUAAAAAGAAAACUGUCCCCUGCCUUUAGUCUUUUGAGUGCUUACAGUGUUUGAAAGACUCAUUCUGUAAUUCAAUGAACCGGUGUUUAGUAUCAAAAGGUUCCCCAUGCCUUAUAAAAGUGGUUUGGGCAUGUUAACGGCCAACUCUCUUGUAAAAGUGCACUACUUUGUCCAGUGAUGGAUAUCUCCAAUCAACACACAGCAAUCAAUCAAACUCUAUUCAAUUCAAUCAAUUACUUAUUUUCACUCUUUACAGUAGUUUUUUAUGGCUUUUCUAGUUCAAUUUUUUUAGCCAUUGUUAAUCUAGAUCUAAUUAUGUACAGAAAGCUCAACAAGUGACUUGUACUAUCAGGAGGACACCUUUCUGCUCCUCCUUAGAGGAAAAGCAAAGUUCCCUUACACACUGAUAAAUCGUCUAAUCCCAAUCUUAUGAAUCUUUUGGCAGUGAAUUGAGAUACUUCUUAGUUUGGUCUGAUAACAGUUUUCACUUGCGAUGAUAGCAAAACAGAAUCAAUGCCAGUUUCUCUCAUACCUAACCCAAAAAGAUCACUCAAAAAAACAGAUAUAAACUCUCAAAAAAACAAGAUAGUAAUUUUUGAAUUAAUUGAUUAAGCACUGAAAUACAAUGAGGAUAUCAAAAAAUACAGUAAUAUAUCAGGAGGUAAAAUAAGACCAAGUAAUCUUCUUAAGCUAACAACUUGAUUACUAGACUAAUUAAGCAUUGAAUUCUUGAAGCUAUGAGAUAUCUUUACAACAAGAUAGAUUUACAUAUGGACUCAGUAAAUAGCAAAGAAUUUAGAAAGCACUGAAGGUAUGCAUCAAGUAUGAUACUAGUACAAUAUUCAGGAGAGAAAGCCUACAUAUCAGGGUGUUGCAGCAAAGAGAUCGAAGAUAUUGACGGCAAGAUACCAUAUCCAUGAAAAUUGGGUAAUUAGAGGAAUCUCGCUUAUACAGUCCACGAACAUAUCUCUAUUCACUACCUGUGAUUUUGUAUUCUAGUAUCCGCGCUUCACCAUAUAAUCACUCUCCAACUGGAAUAACUACUUGAUGCUCCCAGAUUCAGCAUUCUUAUGCACAAGAAUAACCUUGGAGGUAGAUGGUUAGUCCGUACGGAGAAUGGCGCAAUAGUAAUUUAUCUUAUCCAGCUUAAAUUAGAGCUUAAUAUGAUAAUGUUUGGCUUGAAGACAGAACGAUGAAAAUCUAUCUAGGGUUAGAGAGGAUCGUUGAGAUAGAAAGGAAGCGUCUAGCUUAUGUUAGAAUAGACUAAAAACGAGAUAUUUGUCUCAAUGUACCUAUAUUGACCGACCAAUUGAAUUGGGCCAGCCCAGUUUAUAUAAAACUCUCUAAACUAGCUAAGCAGUCGAUAAAUACAAGAGUGAGCUUCUGGGUCCAAUAUAAAAGAAGAAGAAAAGAAAAAGAAAGGAGCCCAAUCCGCUAAGUAACAACAUCUUCAUAUGUCUUAACACCCCCGGAAAGUUGGAGGGUGAGACAACCCCCAACUUGCGAAGAUUGAGAUGAUGGACAGCUCCAACCAAAGGCUUGGUGAACAUGUCAGCAAGUUGAGUGGCACUAGAGGUGUGGAGCAGCUGAAGUAGCCCCUCAUUCAGCUUGGUGCGAACAAAAUGGCAGUCCAACUCAAUAUGCUUAGUGCGCUCAUGAAAAACAGGGUUCUUAGCAAUGUGAAUAGUGACUUGAUUGUCACAAAACAAACGAAAAAGAGAAGAAAAGUAAUGCCAAAAUCGUAAAGGAGCCUGCAAACUCAAGUAAUCUCAGCACUAGCCUUACUUAUGGACCUAUAUUUAGCCUCAGGAGAGGACAAGGAUACCAUAGAUUGUAUCUUUGAUUUCCAACCCACAAGACUGCCCCCCAACAAUGUGCAAAACCCACCAACAGAUUUCCUACUAUCUGGGCAAGCACCCCAAUCACUAUCACAAUAAACACUGAGAGAGAGGUCAGAAGAGGUAUUAUAGAAAAUACCAAAGUUAGGAGUGACCUUGAGAUACCUGAGUAACCUCAGGGCAGCCUGCAUGUGAGGAAUGCAAGGGUUCUGCAUAAACUAGCUCAGAUGCUGCACUGCAAAACAAAUUUCAGGCUUGGUAUGGGUUAAGAAAUUGAGUUUGCCCACCAAACACCUGUAAGUCUCAGGAUUAUGCAAAGGAUCACCACAAUCUGCCUUCAAUUUGUCAUGUAUUUCAAGAGGAGACACCAAAGAAGAACAAUCAGAGGAGUGGAACUCUAAUAGCAGGUUAUGGACAAACUUUUUCUGAUGAAAUAAGACACCACCCUCAGAAUACAAGACUUCAAUACCCAAGAAAUAGUUAAGCUGGCCGAGGUCCUUAAUCUUGAAUUGAUCAUGGAGGAAAGUCUUUACAGCAGCAAUUUCACACAAAUCAGUCCCGCGAUGAUAAUAUCAUCAACAUAGACUACUAAGAUCACCAAAGUAUCCCCAAAACCUCUAGUAAAAAGGGAGUAAUCAUUUAUAGAAUGCACAUACCCUCUAGAGGACAGAGAUUGAGACAACUUGGCAUACCACUACCUUCAAGCUUGCCUCAGACCAUAUAAAUAUUUCUAUAGUUUGCAAACCUGAGAAGUAGAGGAAGAAUGAGAUGGAACUGCUUGUGUAGUAGAAGAAAUAGAGAAACCAGGUGGAAUUUUUGUAAAAACUUCCUCAUCUAAAUCCCCAUGUAAGAAAGUAUUAUUAACAUCUAGCUAAAAUAAAUGCCAUUUUCUUUUAACAGCUAUAAUAAUCAAUGUUUUAAUAGUAGACAUCUGAACAAAAGGUAAAAAAAUCAUGAAAAUCUAUGCCCUCAACUUGUGUAUCACCCCUCAUCACAAGUCUAGCCUUAUAUGUUUCUAUGCUCCCAUCAGCUUAGUACUUAUUUUUAUAUACCCAUUUGCAACCAAUUGGCUUCUUGCCUUUGGGUAACUCAACUAUAUCCCAUGUUCCAUUAGCAUCCAAUGCCUCAAACUAUUUUCUUAUAUCAUCCUGUCACUUAGGGACAACUGCUGCCUAAGAAUAAGUAUUGGGCUCAAAGACAUGAUGUUCACUAGAAGUAGAUAUAACAGAUGAAUUUGCACACCUGAGCAAUGGGAUGGUAGUGUGCAGACAUAAUUUUGCAAGCUAGAAGGAGGAUUAUGAGGUCUAGAGGAUCUCCUUAAAGGAGGAAAUUCAGAAUCAUUGGUAGAGGAAGAAGACAAAUCAGGAGAAGAUGAGGAACCAGGAGAAGAAGGGGAGAUGUCCCAAAGUACUGUAGGAGCAGGAGAGGUCGAAGGAAAAGAAGUGUGAACUUCAGGAUGUACAAGGGAGAAGUAGUCAUGAAGUGAAAGGGAAGUCUGCCUAGCAGAAUGGGCAAAACGUGUAGAAAAUAAAAAAUUGGUCAUAGUAGGAGAAGCAGAACCAGAUUAAAUAAAAGGGAAUACAUGUUCAUGAAAGACAACAUCUCUGGAGACAAAGCAGAUUUUAUUCUGUAAGUCAUACGACUUAUAGGAUUUCUUUCCAAAAAGAUAUCCUAAGAACACACAAGGAACAAUUCUAGGUUGUGACUUAUCUCUAUGAGGCUUUGGAACGGUAGAGUAGCAUAAACAGCCAAAAGCUCUAAGAUUGGAAUAAGUUGGGAGUUUGUUGUAUAAAAUUUCAUAAGGACAUUUAUCUUUUAAGACACUAGAAGGGAACCUAUUUAUCAAGUUUGUUGCAGUUAACAUACAAUAUCCCCAUAAUCUAAGAGGGAGGCCAGACUGAAAAAGAAGAGCUCUUGUAGUCUCCAGAAGAUGUUUGUGUUUCUUUUCCACAACUCCAUUAUGUUGUGGAGUAUGAGGACAUGUUAUCUGAUGCAAAAUAUCUUUUUAAAAAAAGAAUGUGGACCCUACAGUGUUGGAUCCUAAUUCUAGGGCAUUGUCACUUCUUACAGUCUGAAUCUUUAAUUGGAAUUGGGUUUCAGUCAUGGCAAUGAAGGCUUUUAGAAGGUCAAAGACAUUACUUUUGGCUCCCAUUAGAUGAGUCUAAGUGUCUCUUGAAAAGUCAUCAAUAAUGGUUAUAAAAUAUCUGGAGCCAGUAUAGUUAGGUGAAUGAUAUGGUCCCCAGCUGUCAAUAUGUAUUAACUGAAAAGGUUUUGUGGUUUGUAUACUACUAUUAGAAAAUAGUAGUCUAGUUUGCCUAUCUAGUGGACAUAUUGGACAAGAAAAAGAUUGCUUAGAAGAUAACUGUAACCCAAGUAUAAAAAUAUGUUUCAUUUUAGAGAAAGGGAUAUGCGCCAAAGCUAUAAUGCCAAACCACAUCCAUUUUAUUGAUGUCAUUCAGAUUUACAUUAGUAGUUACAUGUGUCUCAUCAGAAGCAACAACAUUUACAUUUAUAAUAGUCUUUACAUCUUCAUGUAUUUCAGGCAAAACACAGACAAGAGAAACAAUAGGAGAAUUAACAAUACAAGAAGAGUACAAUGUGGUGCUAGCAACAGGAGGGAGGAGAAGCUUGUAAAGAUUAUGGACCAGUUUAUCAAGAGCCAGAGGCAUCUUCAGAGAAGGGGCAUGUAUAGAACAAAGAGUUCUGGUAAGCAUAACAAUUCCAUUGUAUUGGUCUAACAAUUUAUGAACAGAUAUGAGAUUAUAUUGGAAAUAAGGAACAUAAAGAAUAUGAUAAAUUGUGAAAUUUAGGAAUAAAGACAAAUAUCCUACUAAGUGAACUUUAACCUUGUAGCCAUUUGGGAGUGAAACAAGACAAGGCACAGGUAGAGUUUGUAAGUUAAAGAGUAGGUCUUUAUGUGAGGUCAUAUGAUCAAAUGCUCCAAAAUCUAUAACCCAAAUAAUACUAUCUACUUGUGAAAGCAUGCAUGACUUGAGCAAAAUACUUUUUGAUAACAGCUUACCAGCAAAGUUAGCAGAAGCCAUGAGAGUGGGCGUAGAGGAGGAAUCUACAGAAACAUGGGACUGGCGUAGUAACAUCAUCAGUUGGGGUAAUUGAUCUUGUGUCAGACCAGGAACCAUUGAAACAUUAUUAGACUCAGAGGGCUUGACAGACUCAGAAUCCAUAUUAGAAACCACAUUAGCAGGAGGACCAGGAGAAUUCACUUCAACAUGAGCUGCAGUCUUUUUACUGCCAGACCCCUUUGUGAACUUGAAAUUAGGAGGAUACCCAUGAAGCUUAUAACACUUAUCAAUGGUGUGACUUGGUUUCUUACAGUACUUGCAAGCAGGGAAUUUCUGAACAUCAAAGUUGACUCUGGAAGGAAACCCCUGUUUAGACACCCCAGCAUUGAAGGAAGUAGAUGUAAAGGAGAAACUGAGGAGAGGUAGAAACAUGCCUCUGCUUCUCAUCUGACAACAAGAUAUUGUAGACAAUGCUUUCAGAAGGGAAUGGUUUAAUCAUGAAAAUGUUACUUCUAGUCCGCACAUAUGUAUCAUUGAGGCCCAUAAAAAAUUGAUACACUUUUUGGACAUCAUCAUCCUUCUGAUAGUCAGAUUUAAAACCACAGUUGCUGCAAGAUCUGACUCUACUAAUUAACAAGGCUUCAAUCGCAUCCCACAAUUGCUUGAUCUUAUUAAAAUAGGAGGCAAUACCAAGUGAGCCUUGUGAAAUGUGAGCUAGUUCUUUCUUAAGCUCAAACACUCUUGUAGCAUCUGCCUGACCAUAUCUUUUCUCCAAUUCACUUCAAAUAUCUUUGGCAAGUUCAGAGUACUCAACACUACGAGCAAUAUCUUUGGACAGGGAGUUAGUUAACCAUGAGACGACUAAAUUAUUAUACCUCUGCCACUGUCUCGCCAAGAGAGAACUGUCAGAAGGUUUGACUGAGGAUCCAUUAAUGAAAUCCAAUUUAUUUCUAACAAACAAGGCUACAAGAAUAGUUUGCCUCCACCUCCCAUACGCAGUACCAUCAAAAGGGAGAGAAACUAGUGAGGACCCCAACACGUCAGAAGGAUGCACAUAGAAGGGAUAGACAGGGGUAGGUAUAGUCGUCUUCAUGAAACACAGAACAAGAGGUUGUAACGCGAGCAGUAGGCAACAUAGAUGGGAAAGUAUCUUCACACAUUUUUAUACACAAUUAGCAGAGAAAUACUACACAUGUAAUCUAAAACAAUAGAAAAAAAGGAGAUAAAUAGGGUUACCAAUUCUUUCACAACCGGAAGGAACAAUGACCUUGUAUAUAAGAGUAAAAGAGACGAAGACACAAACAUACCCUAGCUGAAGCGUACAGAUGCAGAAAUCCCUAAACCCUAGGUUGAUGAAGACUUCACAAGAAUACUGAAUGAGUUCGGUCAAUCAGCAACAUGAGCAAACACCACCAGAACACACGCUAAUUCCAACGCCAUUACUAGAGAAAUUCAUUGAAAAUCGUCAAAGAAGACAAACGACAACGGACCACUAAAAUUCCGAUAAAAAUACAUGAGGGUAACAUCGGACGAGAGGUAAUCACCCGAUCUACCUAGAUUUGGACUCUGACACCAUGAUAAAGUUUGGAUUGAAGACAAAACCAUGAAAAUCU
Molecule: long non-coding RNA, 7570 nt
Filed under: Nicotiana tabacum (common tobacco)
Lineage: Eukaryota; Viridiplantae; Streptophyta; Magnoliopsida; Solanales; Solanaceae
Description: long non-coding RNA (NTAB_LNC003414)
Source: RNAcentral